This 468-nucleotide ribosomal RNA is filed under the name uncultured bacterium. Its description in RNAcentral is "partial 16S ribosomal RNA". It matches the Rfam family "Bacterial small subunit ribosomal RNA", at positions 28 to 507 of the family's 1533-position model. The record is from RNAcentral.
GACGAACGCUGGCGGCGUGCUUAACACAUGCAAGUCGAACGGAAAGGCCCUGCUUUUGUGGGGUUCUCGAUUGGCGAACGGGUGAGUAACACGUGAGUAACCUGCCCUUGACUUUGGGAUAACUUCUGGAAACUGGGGCUAAUACCGGGUAUGAGCUCCUGCUGCAUGGUGUGGGUUGGAAAGAUUCGGCGGUUGGGUCUGGACUCGCGGCUUAUCAGCUUGUUGGUGGGGUAGUGGCUUUCCAAGGCUUUGACGGGUAGCCGGCCUGAGAGGGUGACCGGCGACCAUGGGACUGCGAUACGGACCAGACUCCUACGGGAGGCAGCAGUGGGGAAUAUUGCACAAUGGGCGGAAGCCUGAUGCAGCAACGCCGCGUGCGGGAUGCCGGCCUUCGGGUUGUAAACAGCUUUGGCAUGUGACGAAGCGUGCGUGACGGUAAUGGGUAAAGAAGCACCGGCUAACUACGUG